UCCUGUUCUCUUCUACCAUCACACCCACCGCUGUAAAGCAGCCAACAUGAUAUUUUACACACACACACCACACACACACACACAACACACACACACACACACACACACACACCAGAUCACGGGAAGCUCCGUUCACAUCUCUCCAUUGCCUUCUGAUCUUUCGCUCAGUCCGCACCAUGGCUGCAGGCCCUGCGCCCCUCCACUACCACCAACUCCGCCACCUCCACCCUGCUCUGUGCGACGCUGAGCCAUCGGGUAGGGGAGGAGUCAGAAGCCAACACCCAGAGGAGGCGACAGAAGAAAAGGAGGCUGGUCUCCGGGGCUCACCUGGUUCAAGCACCUGCACAGAGACUUUUCUUCUCGUGCCGUUUGCUGUCACAGAAAAGACCGGCCCCGCACACGUGCAAAGAGGUAAGUGGAUGGAAAGUCAUUGAACUGCAAGUGAAAACAAUAUAUAUCCACUACUGGCCCCAGUUAGAUACGGUACAGCUAGCCGAUGGAAUACUACGCCGCCAUUAAAAAGAUGAGGCAACCUCAUAGCCCGUAUACCGCCGUCAGGAUGUUUUGAAGCGGAAGAAGUCGGGUGGGGUGAUUUCAUGAAAUAGUCCUCUCUUACCAAACAGAUGUUUUCUGAUUACUUUUAUUUCACUUUACAUGCAUAUUUGUACUUUUUCAAUCAAAAGUCACUAGCAUAAAAAGACACCAAUGAGCUAUAGGAAGAUAUUGUCCAUAACUCUGUCCGAUAGGUCAGAACCAAUAUCUUAGCUCUUAGCCCCAUGUGGCUAUUUACGUGUUAAGGUGCAUUAAUGAAAAUCGAAUGAAAAUUUAGUUUCUCAGUUGCACUACCCACGUUUCAAGGGUCCAGCGGUCAUGCGUGGGUAGUGGCUAGCACAUCGACAGUGAACACAGAGAACAUUUCCAUUAUUGUGGACAGUUACAUCGGACAGUGCUGGACCCAGAGCCAGAGAAUUUUUCUUGAAAUAUCUCGGUCUUCGGUGUUCCUCAUAGAAUUGAUGCAAAAGAGAAAUAGGGAACGAAUUUUGCAUUACAGAACAAGGCAGGCAUUAAUGUGCAUCUCUCCCUCUCUCUCUCCUUGUUAACCAGCAGGAACGUGAGAAACUCAUCCCUACAACUUUUUACAGUGUCAUGACUUACAGCUCUAAAAUAUUUCGUAUAUAUUUUAAGUAGUACCAUGUCUGGGGACUUUUGCCACCUGGCAACCUAAAUUGAUCAAUAGUUAUGGACGCUGGUUGCAAGAAUACCAAAAAUAAGCGACAGCCCCAAAUCAUCCCAUUUUUUUUUUCAUUACUGUAUAAAUUCUGGAACCUUCUCCCUUUUUUGGAUCCCUCAUUCUCUAACUCGUUUAGGCUUCUGAGGACCCUCUCGACUCUGAGAAGCCACAAGUAUAAUCCCAGCUAAGAGUGAAGCUCGAGGAACCAUGGAGCCCUAAGGGUUGCUAUCAGCAUAUCUGAUUCAAUAAACACAAGAGAACCAACA
RNAcentral lists this long non-coding RNA (1497 nucleotides) under Felis catus (domestic cat). Its description in RNAcentral is "lncRNA (ENSFCAG00000048132.1)". The record is from RNAcentral. Lineage: Eukaryota; Metazoa; Chordata; Mammalia; Carnivora; Felidae.